This 1159-nucleotide ribosomal RNA is filed under the name uncultured Nitrosomonas sp. RNAcentral describes it as "partial 16S ribosomal RNA". It matches the Rfam family "Bacterial small subunit ribosomal RNA", at positions 67 to 1182 of the family's 1533-position model. The record is from RNAcentral. Lineage: Bacteria; Pseudomonadati; Pseudomonadota; Betaproteobacteria; Nitrosomonadales; Nitrosomonadaceae.
GACGAAAGGGUGUUUCCUCCACGCUAUUUAGUUGGUCACCGCCAGUUUUCCCAGCUCACGACGUAGUAAACGACGGCCCAGCCAAAGCUUGCUUGCCUGCAUGUCGAAGAUUCUUAAGUGGAGAAUACGCAUCGAAAGAUGUCUAAUCCGCAUAUUCUCCGAGGAGGAAAGCAGGGAUCGUAAGACCUUGCGCUUUGGAGCGGCCGAUGCUGAUUAGCUAGUUGGUGGGGUAAAGGCAUACCAAGGCGACGAUCAGUAGUUGGUCUGAGAGGACGACCAGCCACACUGGGACUGAGACACGGCCCAGACUCAUACGGGAGGCAGCAGUGGGGAAUUUUGGACAAUGGGCGAAAGCCUGAUCCAGCAAUGCCGCGUGAGUGAAGAAGGCCCUCGGGUUGUAAAGCUCUUUCAGUCGAGAAGAAAAAAUUGUGACUAAUAAUCACAGUUCAUGACGGUAUCGACAGAAGAAGCACCGGCUAACUACGUGCCAGCAGCCGCGGUAAUACGUAGGGUGCAAGCGUUAAUCGGAAUUACUGGGCGUAAAGGGUGCGCAGGCGGCCUUGUAAGUCAGAUGUGAAAUCCCCGGGCUUAACCUGGGAAUUGCGUUUGAAACUACAAGGCUAGAGUGUAGCAGAGGGGGGUGGAAUUCCAUGUGUAGCAGUGAAAUGCGUAGAGAUAUGGAAGAACAUCGAUGGCGAAGGCAGCCCCCUGGGUUAACACUGACGCUCAUGCACGAAAGCGUGGGGAGCAAACAGGGUUAGAUACCCUGGUAGUCCACGCCCUAAACGAUGUCAACUAGUUGUCGGGCCUUACUAGGCUUGGUAACGUAGCUAACGCGUGAAGUUGACCGCCUGGGGAGCACGGUCGCAAGAUUAAAACUCAAAGGAAUUGACGGGGACCCGCACAAGCGGUGGAUUAUGUGGAUUAAUUCGAUGCAACGCGAAAAACCUUACCUACCCUUGACAUGUAGCGAAUUUUCUAGAGAUAGAUUAGUGCCUUCGGGAACGCUAACACAGGUGCUGCAUGGCUGUCGUCAGCUCGUGUCGUGAGAUGUUGGGUUAAGUCCCGCAACGAGCGCAACCCUUGUCAUUAAUUGCCAUCAUUCAGUUGGGCACUUUAAUGAGACUGCCGGUGACAAACCGGAGGAAGGCGGGGAUGA